RNAcentral lists this transfer RNA (73 nucleotides) under Mesitornis unicolor (brown roatelo). It matches the Rfam family "tRNA". From Rfam's summary of the family: Transfer RNA (tRNA) molecules are approximately 80 nucleotides in length. Their secondary structure includes four short double-helical elements and three loops (D, anti-codon, and T loops). The record is from Rfam by way of RNAcentral. Lineage: Eukaryota; Metazoa; Chordata; Aves; Mesitornithiformes; Mesitornithidae.
GCCCAGCUAGCUCAGUUGGUAGAGCACAAGACUUUUAAUCUCAGGGUUGUGGGCUCGUGCCCCACGUUUGGCG